Molecule: long non-coding RNA, 2613 nt
Organism: Homo sapiens (human)
Lineage: Eukaryota; Metazoa; Chordata; Mammalia; Primates; Hominidae
Product: long intergenic non-protein coding RNA 943
Source: Ensembl
AGUCACACUCCAGGGAACUCACAUGGGGGCUGGGCAGGGGGACCUAAGAGAUAGAUAAUCGGCACAUAUCGCUUCUCGGCCUUUUGGCUAAGAUCAAGUGAUAAUCAGCAAGUAAAUGCAGAGGAAGGAGAGCUGGGGAACUCUGGGCACAACUUUACAGCUUCGUGGUUCAUAUUCUUUUCUAGGAGAAAGGAAGGGUGGAUGAGGCCCCAAUCCAUCGGUUGGAAAUAAUGGGCUAUGUUUUAUUCCUCAGUGCACUGAGAAGGAGAGCAACAUUUAAGCGUACUCAUUCUGCUGCUAUGAGCGAGGAGACUGGGCCCAAAGGAACAAGAAUGGACACAGGAAAGGUCAGCUGAGGUUAUGGCAGGUAUCCAGGUGCAUGAAGAUGGUGGCUUGGACCAGGUGGCCAUGGUGGAGAGAACAGGAAAUGAUCAUCCUUAAUAUGAAUUAGGAUGAGUGUGAUUAAUAGAGGACAUACUUUAUUCAGCUGGGUGCUGAAAAAGAAUCUUGGAAAUUAGGAAACUGAAUGAGGCCUCAUUUCACACUCAGAAUGUGGGUUGCAAUAGUCACUUCCUCUGCUGCUGGGAAAGAAAGAAUUAUACUACCUUUUGAAUUUUGGAUUAAGGAGAGAGGUGUUGGCUUGUCAAACUACCAUGUAUUCCUCAAGACAUAUUUUUGUGGCUUUAUAAAAUUCAAUAUAUAUGUCUAAAUUCAAAAAUAUUUUGUUGCAAUCUGGCCCUUGGACAAACUGAGGCCCUAGCAACUGAUGUUUAUGGCUUUCCGUAGAACCUUUCAGAUAAAAUUUACACAGCAUUUUACUGCAGCUAUUUCACACAAAGCAGAGGAUUUUGCCACAAAACUGAAAGAAAAAAGAAACUGCAUUCUUAAAUUUUUCAUAAAUCAAAAGGUAUAAAAAUAUCUACCUAAACGAUAAAGGAGAUGAGAAACCCCACCCAUGAUGGGAAGAAAGCCUAUUUCAGUUUUGCCUUUACUUCAAGUUCUUUUUUCCAUAUCUGGAAUGCAAUCAGAAUUUUAAUCUUGCCUUGGGUUCCUCCUGGAUUUGGGGAGAAGACAAAACCUGAAAAUCUCUAAUCUGCAUGUGUUCAGCUGCGUAUCUUCUGGAUACGGAAGGAUCACACUGCACAGAGUGCUGGACUUGCAGGAGCCCCGCUUCUCAACCUCCAUCGCUUUAUGAAUGAAUUCACCAGAAAGAAAAGGAAGAAUCAACACUUUCAGAGAUGGAGCCUGUUGAGCCACAGUACCAACUAGUCAAUGCUGAAUCGACUUCUCCCUUUCUACAUUGCCUGAGAGAAGUCAUUGGGGAAUACUCUGUACACGAAUUUUCACUGUUGGGGAAAACAGAGAGUCAAGGGAUUGGAUUGUGGAUUGCAUUGGUGGUUUUCCUCAGUUUCCUCAUCUUCUCCACAAGUUUCUACAUAUCGAAUGCAGAGCAGCCCUUCUUCAAAGGACCUCCUACGGAAGCUGCUAAGGAACUCAGUCUGUAGCUCUGCGUGGAGCCAUGUGUAAACACUGAACUGAGACCUGCCACCUCCUACUACCUAAGGGCCCAUUUUCAUCUGAUAUCAUCCCCCAGAAACAAACUCAUGAUGACUUCCAUGUUUUUUUUAGAUUAGAUACAUGGAGAAUUUUCCUUUCCCUUAGAAUUAAAAUCCUGCAUUCUAAUUUUCAGUAAGCUUUUUUAUUUCUGAAUAAUUUUAAAUUUAAAGAGAAGUUGCAAAGAUAGUAUAGAAUGUUCCCUUAUACCUGUUUUUAUUUAGAGUGAUGUUCCCAGGAGAAAUGAUAAUGCAGCAAUGGACAAGAACAGGAACAAGAGACAGUCUUACCAUCUUCUUACAAUUUAUAGAUGGGACAGUGGAAAGAGAAGCCACAUCGGGGUUGGGCAUGCAGAGACCUGGUCCUAAAUCUGUGUGACUUUUGCGAAAUCCUUUUGCCUCACAGAGCUCUAGGUUCUUAUCUGUCAAACAGGAACCAGACCAUCAGAUCCGUAGAGAUCCAACCAAUGAAGGAGACUUCGAAAACUUCACAUUGCCGUGUCAAUGUGAGGUUGCUGGAUGGUUAUGACAAGAAAUCACAUUAAAUUCACUGGGGUAACAUUGUUCAUGAAACGGGAUAAUGUGUUUCAGCGAUGAACCACCCAUGGCCUUACUACAGACAUAUUUCCACUUUGAAAAUGUGUGUGAGUGUACAUGUCUGUGUGUGAGGCAGAGAUUAGAAAGUGUAAAUGUGUGCGUUUUCAUUUUACACAUCUUACAUUUUCCUUUAAUUUGUUUGAAAGCCUGUUUUGUUUGUGGCUUCCAUUCCUGGAAGUCCCAUGAGUUGUUAGUGGUGAAGAUGGAACAGAUGUGUCCAACCCGGGGGACUCCUGCCCUCAGGGACUGAGCAGCUGCAAACCUCUCUCUCAUCUGAUUCCACUGUUUCUUCCACAUGUACACAUCAUGAGAAAUAUUGUUCAAUCAAUAUCUUCCCUUAAAUCAACUCAUAUGCUUAUUUACAUGAAUUUACCUAAAACAGAAACUUGAUAUCACUUCUGUAAAUGAAAAAAUUAAACUUUCUGGCUUUAAAUAAAGCAUAACAAUAAUAAUCAUGUCAAAA